GCGAGCGCUCCCGGGCCGCGCGAGCCUCUGUGCUGCCGGCGGGAUGCAGCGGGCGUGCGGCCAGGGCGCGGGGCCGCCACCUGCUGGGGAGCCAGGAACAGCGCUGUCUACAAGUUCACCAGCCAGGACACCUCCGACUACUUGAGAACACACGUGUGAUGGUGUAAUUUCUGCUUUUCUGAAAGAACUCGGAGGAGACUUGAUAGAGGAGCUUGGAGAACAUCUCCGUCAGGACACAGUCCCUGCAGUCCUUGAGCCUCAUCGAGAUCAGGAACCCUUCCCAGAGCCUGGAGAACGUCUGCCACUGGGCUUGCCUGCAGCAGAAGCCAGACACAGACCACGACAAGUACCACGAUCAUGCCAUUUUCUUCACUCGACAGGACUUCGGGCUGUCAGGCAUACAGGUAAGCUGCCCUCAGGUGAAGAAUUGUGGUGGAAAGGUAGUGGGAGGAGUGUGGUGAGGAGCCAUUGGCUUUGCCAGAUGCACCUGUGCACUUGGCCCAUCCCAGGAAGGAGUGUCCAGUGAGGGCCUCUAGGCCAGUGUUGGCAAUCCCACCACACCCCAGGGGUGGUGAAAUGGGAAGGGACUGGGCCAGGAUUGCUGAGACCAGAUUGGGUUUCUCCAGGUUUAUUUUAGAGAUUGCAGGAAAAAAGAUCUGAGCAUGUUUCCAUCCUUUGCAGAUUGAACUUAUAUUCAAAGACGUAAACUGUAUGAAAGGGCAGAUCUAAAAGCAGAAAUGGGCACAUCUACAAUCCCCAUUGAAGAGAUAUAGGUGUCUUUUUCAGUGCUGGCCCUUGGGCACUCAACCUUGACAUGUAGCUGAUUUGGAUCUUCUUGGUGGAGGUCUCUGCAAGGUUCUGGAAGUGUCAGAGAAGAAGAACUUGAAGAUCACCAUCAGGCAGAGAAUGUGGAUCCUCAGCCCUCUGAGAGCCGCUGGCUGAAGUGUCUGCACAAGGACUCCCCGGAACUGGAGCUGGGAGGAGGAGUGUGUUUCCAUGGACAGUCCUCAUCCGACAUGGAGGAGUCAGACCCUCCCUUCAGUCAGGAGCUGCCCAGAAAAAGGAAAUGGAGCCCGAGCCUGGCCCAGCUGUUGCACAAAUGUGACAUCCCAGACUUGGGCACUCCCAGGGGCACCUGGCCACCCCAGAAGGUUGGUGAUAGGGAAUAUUGCUUC
Ochotona curzoniae (black-lipped pika) is the source of this 1175-nucleotide long non-coding RNA. RefSeq lists it as uncharacterized. The record is from RefSeq and is a predicted model, not a curated record. The transcript has 7 exons. NCBI's taxonomy places the organism in Eukaryota, Metazoa, Chordata, Mammalia, Lagomorpha, Ochotonidae.